GACGAACGCUGGCGGCGUGCUUAACACAUGCAAGUCGAACGGAAAGGCCCUGCUUUUGUGGGGUGCUCGAGUGGCGAACGGGUGAGUAACACGUGAGUAACCUGCCCUUGACUUUGGGAUAACUUCAGGAAACUGGGGCUAAUACCGGAUAGGAGCUCCUGCUGCAUGGUGGGGGUUGGAAAGUUUCGGCGGUUGGGGAUGGACUCGCGGCUUAUCAGCUUGUUGGUGGGGUAGUGGCUUACCAAGGCUUUGACGGGUAGCCGGCCUGAGAGGGUGACCGGACAGUGUGAGACUGAGAGGCUGCCCAGCACGGUGGGGGGGGCGGGGGGGGAGAACAUUGGAGAGGGGGGUGGCGGCGGAGGGAGCAGCGCGGGGUGGGGGGUGGGGGCCUUGGGCGUAGACUCCGCUGUGGCGUGGGGGGGGGAGGGAGUGGCGGGAAGGGGUAAAGCAACCCCGGCAAGCGCCGCGCCAGCGGACGGGGUAUUAGGCGGAACAGCACACGUCUGAAC
Molecule: ribosomal RNA, 509 nt
Filed under: uncultured bacterium
Lineage: Bacteria
Description: partial 16S ribosomal RNA
Rfam family: Bacterial small subunit ribosomal RNA (bases 20-329)
Source: RNAcentral